AUCAACUUUCGAUGGUAGGAUAGAGACCUACCAUGGUGGUAACGGGUAACGGGGUGUUAGGGCACGACACCGGAGAGGGAGCCUGAGAAACGGCUACCACAUCCAAGGAAGGCAGCAGGCGCGCAAAUUACCCAAUCCCGACACGGGGAGGUAGUGACAAUAAAUAACAAUACAGGGUUCUUUUGGAUCUUGUAAUUGGAAUGAGUACAAUUUAAAUCUCUUAACGAGGAACAAUUGGAGGGCAAGUCUGGUGCCAGCAGCCGCGGUAAUUCCAGCUCCAAUAGCGUAUAUUAAAGUUGUUGCAGUUAAAAAGCUCGUAGUUGAAUUUCGGGAUCAAUAUUUCGGUCAUGCCGUUGGUAUGCACUGUUAUCAUUGAUUUCUCACCUUCUAAAGAACCGUAAUGCCAUUAAUUUGGUGUUACGGGGAAUUAGGACUGUUACCUUGAAAAAAUUAGAGUGUUUAAAGCAGGCUCACGCUUGAAUACAUUAGCAUGGAAUAAUGAAAUAGGACAUCCGAUUCUAUUUUGUUGGUUUCUAGGAUCGAUGUAAUGAUUAAUAGGGAUAGUUGGGGGCAUUAGUAUUCAAUUGUCAGAGGUGAAAUUCUUGGAUUUAUUGAAGACUAACUACUGCGAAAGCAUUUGCCAAGGAUGUUUUCAUUAAUCAAGAACGAAAGUUAGGGGAUCGAAGACGAUCAGAUACCGUCGUAGUCUUAACCAUAAACUAUGCCGACUAGGGAUCGGAUGAUGUUAAUUUUUUAAUGACUCAUUCGGCGCCUUACGGGAAACAAAGUGUUUGGGUUC
RNAcentral lists this ribosomal RNA (799 nucleotides) under uncultured Glomus. RNAcentral describes it as "SSU rRNA". It matches the Rfam family "Eukaryotic small subunit ribosomal RNA", at positions 314 to 1114 of the family's 1831-position model. The record is from RNAcentral. Lineage: Eukaryota; Fungi; Glomeromycota; Glomeromycetes; Glomerales; Glomeraceae.